RNAcentral lists this transfer RNA (71 nucleotides) under Ornithorhynchus anatinus (platypus). It matches the Rfam family "tRNA". From Rfam's summary of the family: Transfer RNA (tRNA) molecules are approximately 80 nucleotides in length. Their secondary structure includes four short double-helical elements and three loops (D, anti-codon, and T loops). Lineage: Eukaryota; Metazoa; Chordata; Mammalia; Monotremata; Ornithorhynchidae. The record is from Rfam by way of RNAcentral.
UGCAGUAUUGCAUAGUGGAUAGAGCACUGGCCUGAGUCAGAAGGACCUGGGUUCUAAUCCCAGUUCUGCCA